GCACACAACAGCAGCAUCCAGGCCUCCAGAGUACUCACCCUAUCGCCUUCUGUAGGGACGGGAGCCGCAGCUMUUUACUGAGGUGAGACUGAACAUGGACAAGGUGCAGGAGAAACAGAAGGAAAACCACCAGAGGAGAAUCAAGAAGAGGACCAAGUGCUUCGACAUCCGGUCGAAUUACUUGGCUUGGAAGAAGGAUGAAAGGAAGGCGAGACCUUGCUGCUCUUURGCUCCUAGCUGGGGUCACGAUCCGUUCAGGGACCAUCCACACCUCCCUCAUCAACCCCACUGACAUAAAAGAAAACAGACAGG
Salvelinus sp. IW2-2015 is the source of this 312-nucleotide long non-coding RNA. RefSeq lists it as uncharacterized. Lineage: Eukaryota; Metazoa; Chordata; Actinopteri; Salmoniformes; Salmonidae. The record is from RefSeq and is a predicted model, not a curated record.